AAAACCUUCACCCCAAAUAUCAUCAGUCGGAAGAUCAAGGAAGAGCCCAAGGAAGAAGUAACUGUCAAGAAGGAGAAGCGUGAAAGAGACAGAGACCGACAACGAGAGGGGCAUGGACGAGGGCGAGGCCGUCCAGAAGUGAUCCAGUCUCACUCCAUCUUUGAGCAGGGCCCAGCCGAAAUGAUGAAGAAAAAAGGGAACUGGGAUAAGACAGUGGAUGUGUCAGACAUGGGACCUUCUCAUAUCAUCAACAUCAAAAAAGAGAAGAGAGAGACAGACGAAGAAACUAAACAGAUCUUGCGUAUGCUGGAGAAGGACGAUUUCCUCGAUGACCCCGGCCUGAGGAACGACACUCGAAAUAUGCCUGUGCAGCUGCCGCUGGCUCACUCAGGAUGGCUUUUUAAGGAAGAAAAUGACGAACCAGAUGUUAAACCUUGGCUGGCUGGCCCCAAGGAAGAGGACAUGGAGGUGGACAUACCUGCUGUGAAAGUGAAAGAGGAGCCACGAGAUGAGGAGGAAGAGGCCAAGAUGAAGGCUCCUCCCAAAGCAGCCAGGAAGACUCCAGGCCUCCCGAAGGAUGUAUCUGUGGCAGAGCUGCUGAGGGAGCUGAGCCUCACCAAGGAAGAGGAACUGCUGUUUCUGCAGCUGCCAGACACCCUCCCUGGCCAGCCACCCACCCAGGACAUCAAGCCUAUCAAGACAGAGGUGCAGGGCGAGGACGGACAGGUGGUGCUCAUCAAGCAGGAGAAAGACCGAGAAGCCAAGUUGGCAGAGAAUGCUUGUACCCUGGCUGACCUGACAGAGGGUCAGGUUGGCAAGCUACUCAUCCGCAAGUCUGGAA
This 841-nucleotide small RNA is filed under the name Pan troglodytes (chimpanzee). Its description in RNAcentral is "retained intron". Lineage: Eukaryota; Metazoa; Chordata; Mammalia; Primates; Hominidae. The record is from RNAcentral.